GCCGUCGUAGGCCAUGGUGGCGCCCUCCAAAUUUGUGACUGGUGGCGGAGACAAUUAAUGAGGGAGGCGGGGGUUCGAUUCCUCCCGACGGCA
Mycena leptocephala is the source of this 93-nucleotide non-coding RNA. The record is from the annotation of a GenBank genome assembly. Lineage: Eukaryota; Fungi; Basidiomycota; Agaricomycetes; Agaricales; Mycenaceae.